GUUUCCCAGUGGUUGGGCAUCUGCUUUACAUGCAAAAGGUCCCAGGUUCAAUUCCUUGGAUCCCU
RNAcentral lists this transfer RNA (65 nucleotides) under Sphaerodactylus townsendi. Its description in RNAcentral is "tRNA-Val". Lineage: Eukaryota; Metazoa; Chordata; Lepidosauria; Squamata; Sphaerodactylidae. The record is from RNAcentral.